AACUAACUCAUAGUAUCUCGAAUUUAUUAUUGUGUGCAUGCACAAUGUGCUGGAAGGCCAACAUGUUGACACGAGUUCCCACCAGGAUUGCAUUUGGACAGGGCUUGCAGGCUUUGUUGCAGGCUGCCAAUUGCUUGACAGAAAUUCGUCGAAUGCAGUGAGCGUGCAGAGUAACAUGUACUGCAGUACUCGUAAGUACCGCAUCCAGGUAUUGAAGUUAAGCAAAUGAGUUACAUCAUUUUUACCCGGUGUUUUCCUGAUAAAGUACAUCGUUGGAAUUUCACAAAGAAGCCGCUCUGACUGCGACGAGGAUUUUUACACCAUCACUCGACUGUAACGUAUCCUUCAAUCCAAUCCCUAGUCUUUCUAAAGCAGCACGCGUUGAUACCUCAAAAGAAACCAAAGAACCUGAAUUUUUCCGUGUGUGAAAAAGAUUGUUGCUGUACUCUUUUUAAGGAACAAAAUUAAGCGAAGCACAUACAGCGUGAAGAAUCUCUUAACCUCAUAUACUCAAGACAUACUUCCGCAAGCGCUUGCGGAAUCCCCUUGUCACUAGACCAAGAAGAUAACCUUUAGGUCGAUUUGGAAACGUAUAUUCCUUAAGUGUGACGUUCUGGCAUGUAAGCUGCAACUCUUCCAGAUCUGUAUCGAAGAUGUGCUCUACAGCAUAAAUAGCAACAGAUGUGAUAAAAUUUCGCUUUGAUUUAAUGAGGAUCUGUGGCAAAUAUAGUUGGAAGGUCUAGAUGCUUUCCUCUUCGCUUCAGCCUCUAGUCACUACUGAUGAUAGGCACUUCGCAUUUGCUACAUAAAAUUCAAUUCUUUUGCCAACACCUUCUUGUCUACAUUGUUUAGGAACCAAACAUGGCGUUUUACUUGAACUGCAGUCUUUAUCCAACAGAGGUAUCCUUCGUACGCAAACGACAACUUGAAUAAGACAAUGAAAUGGGGGUUACAUGUUGACCACUUGAAUCCCUUACAUGGGAAGCGAUGCCUCGCUAAACUAGUUCUCUGCCGAAAACAUCAUUUGUCCACCUAUUGGGAAUAUGCUCCACGAUGUGCAUUAAAUAUAGA
RNAcentral lists this long non-coding RNA (1071 nucleotides) under Physcomitrium patens. RNAcentral describes it as "long non-coding RNA (PPAT_LNC001701)". The record is from RNAcentral. Lineage: Eukaryota; Viridiplantae; Streptophyta; Bryopsida; Funariales; Funariaceae.